Molecule: ribosomal RNA, 655 nt
Filed under: Gigaspora margarita
Lineage: Eukaryota; Fungi; Glomeromycota; Glomeromycetes; Diversisporales; Gigasporaceae
Description: eukaryotic LSU rRNA
Rfam family: Eukaryotic large subunit ribosomal RNA
Source: RNAcentral
AAAGAAACUAACAAGGAUUCCCCUAGUAACGGCGAGUGAAGCGGGAAGAGCACAAAUUUAAAAUCUACCUGGUUUCCAGGUCGAGUUGUAAUUUGAAGAUACGUUUUUGACGUUCYGGGUUGGACUAAAUCCUUUGGGAUAAGGUAUCAUAGAGGGUGAGAAUCCCGUAUAUACCAACCGUAGGGAUGUUAUUAAAUACGUUUCUAAGAGUCGAGUUGUUUGGGAAUGCAGCUCUAAAUGGGUGGUAAAUUUCACCUAAUGCUAAAUAUAAGCGAGAGACCGAUAGCGAACAAGUACAGUGAUGGAAAGAUGAAAAGAACUUUGAAAAGAGAGUUAAAUAGUACGUGAAAUUGUUGAAAGGGAAACGAUUGAAGUCAGUCAUGCCGGUGGGAAUCAACUUAGGGGAAACUCUGGGUGCACUUCUUCGCUUGGCAGGUCAACGUCGAUUUUGAAUGUCAUAAAAUAAUUGGGGGAAGGUAGCUCCUUCGGGAGUGUUAUAGCCCUUGGUAGAUGUGAUGUUUGGGGUCGAGGAUUGCAACGGAUACCCUUCGGGGCUARCCGCCUGAUCUCUAAUUGGUGUUGGGUUACGGAUAGCAUGCUGACCGUGAUCUAAUUACUGGUUAAAAGGUUAGAGUGUGCAUAAAUUCSUUAAGGA